This is a long non-coding RNA of Patella vulgata (common limpet), 1740 nucleotides long. RefSeq lists it as uncharacterized. Lineage: Eukaryota; Metazoa; Mollusca; Gastropoda; Patellidae. The record is from RefSeq and is a predicted model, not a curated record. The transcript has 4 exons.
CUAUUAUUAGGUCAGGCGUGAAUACAAUGUAGUUCAGCUUUCAGUCUCUGUGUAGUAAAGGUGGUUAUAGUCGUGAAGACAAGAGAAAGGGUUUAAAAACAGUGAUAUGGAUUAAUACGUGAAACAAGUAUGGAUAGAGACGAAAUAUGGGCACUAGAGCUUCCAUUUUGACCUGUCAGUCUCCCACUGUGGAUACAUGUGACAGAUUACCAGGAAAAACAAAAAUAUCGAAUGGGCAUCCUUUGCGAGGGGAUGUGACGAAAAGAGUGGAAUCUCAAAACGAACGAAACAAGAAAAUAUUAGAUUCGCAGAAAAAGACAUGUUAUAAAGCCCAGGAGUUCAGUGAUCGUGUAUUAGAAGAGAAAGACAGAUUAUCACUACAUUCUAAAUCACGUGGUACAUCGAGAACUACAUCACGUACUGCAUCUCCAUCAAAUAAUAAAAAACAUGUGCACUUUGAACCAAUAUCCGACAAUGAAAUACAAGAACUCAAUGUGAAGGUCAAUGGUGUUAUUCAGCCAACUACGAAAGCGGACAUUUCAUAGAAAAAUAUUUAAAGAGCGUUAAAACUAGUAUAGCUUACCCAAGUGCUCAGUCGCCAUUUUACAGUUAUCUUUGGUUACUGUAGUUCUCAGUCACCACUAGUUACUAUAGUUCUCAGUCACCAUUGGUUACUAUAUUUCUCAUUCACCAUUGGUUACUAUAAUUAUCAGUCACCAUUGGUUACUAUAUUUCUCAGUCACCAUUGGUUACUAUAAUUAUCAGUCACAAUGGGUUACUAUAGUUCUAGGUCACUAUUGGUUACUGUAGUUCACAGCCAACAUUGGUUACAAGAUUUCCUGGAUUGCAAGUCACCAUCGGUUAACACGUGGCUCAUUUACCAAUGGUUAUGGUAGUGCUUAAUCACCAUUGGCUACCGUAAUAUUUAGGCACCAUUGGUUACCGUCGUACUUAGUCACAUUGCUUUAGUUAACAUAUUGCUUAGUUACCAUUGGUUACGAUAUUAACAUCAAAAUCGUGGUUUCCGGUUCAGUUUUUAGAGUUGUUGAAGUGGACGGGGUUUAUUCCAUGUAGUUUUAUUAUUAGACUCGUGGACCUUUUGAAACGUUGAUUAUUGUAUUAAAAUCGUGCAUUCGCCUUAUUUGAAGCACAUUUAUAUGAAUUCUCUGUAUGUGGUGAUAGAAGAAACAAGGUUUGAAAUGCAGAACACAAGGCUGUAAUCAGAUCAUAUAUUCAUAUUAUUUCUAGAGUGCAUUGUGCAUUACUGUGAUACAUUUUCUAGAACACGUGCUGUGAUAAAUUGCUGGCGAUUGAAAGGAUCAACAGAUAGUGUUUAGGGAAAAGGUUUUUAUAUGGGCUAAGCCUGUUCCCAAAUCCCAUUCAGGUAUUGGGUUUUUUUGGGUUUUUUUUUUCUUUUUUUGUAAAGACAUAUUGUGUUUCCAUGGAUUUGUUGAAUUUGUACAUAGAAUAUAAAUUAUAUGAUUUAAUGCUGUUAUAAAAGACGCUAUGCGUGAUUUUAGCAAGAACCCCUUGUAAAUUAAACGUUGAAUCUCUAAUAGGAAUGUCAGUCUAAAAAUAGUUCAUUUCCGUUCUAUAUUGACAAAUAUAUAACAGAUUGAAAAUUCCACCCGUCUAUGCUCUUCCCUAUAUCAAAAGACGACCGCCAUCUUUAUUUGCCGUGAACCAAAUUGAUGGGCCUGUUUUAAAUUUGUUUGAAAAUCCAACCGGGAGGCGGGGGGG